Molecule: ribosomal RNA, 470 nt
Filed under: uncultured bacterium
Lineage: Bacteria
Description: SSU rRNA
Rfam family: Bacterial small subunit ribosomal RNA
Source: RNAcentral
AGCCUGAACGCUGGCGGCGUGGCUAAGACAUGCAAGUCGCACGGGCCUAGCAAUAGGUCAGUGGCGAACGGGUGAGUAAUGAAUCGCUAACGUGCCCCGGACGCUGGGAUAGCUAGCCGAAAGGUUAGGUAAUACCAGAUGAUAUCACCGCCUCGCAUGAGGUGGUGCUCAAAGGUCCGCCGGUCUGGGAGCGGGCGAUUUCGUAUCAGCUAGUUGGUGAGGUAACGGCUCACCAAGGCGACGACGCGUAGCCGGACUGAGAGGUUGGCCGGCCACAUUGGGACUGAGACACUGCCCAGACUCCUACGGGGGGCUGCAGUAACGAAUCUUCCGCAAUGCACGAAAGUGUGACGGAGCGACGCCGCGUGCAGGACGAAGCCCUUCGGGGUGUAAACUGCUGUCAGGGGACAGGAAAGUUCUGAUCGUCCCCGAGAGGAAGGCACGGCUAACUCUGUGCCAGCAGCCGCGGU